RNAcentral lists this ribosomal RNA (519 nucleotides) under uncultured Glomeromycotina. RNAcentral describes it as "SSU rRNA". It matches the Rfam family "Eukaryotic small subunit ribosomal RNA", at positions 569 to 1092 of the family's 1831-position model. The record is from RNAcentral. RNAcentral also lists the same sequence under 1 other name. Lineage: Eukaryota; Fungi; Glomeromycota.
AGCAGCCGCGGUAAUUCCAGCUCCAAUAGCGUAUAUUAAAGUUGUUGCAGUUAAAAAGCUCGUAGUUGAAUUUCGGGAUUAGUACGUCGGUCGUGCCUUCGGUACGUACUGGUGUUACUGAUUCCUACCUUCUGACGAACCAUCAUGUCAUUAAUUUGGUGUGGCGGGGAAUCAGGACUGUUACUUUGAAAAAAUUAGAGUGUUUAAAGCAGGCUCGCGCUUGAAUACAUUAGCAUGGAAUAAUGAAAUAGGACGUUGACCCUAUUUUGUUGGUUUCUAGGAUUGACGUAAUGAUUAAUAGGGAUAGUUGGGGGCAUUAGUAUUCAAUUGUCAGAGGUGAAAUUCUUGGAUUUAUUGAAGACUAACUACUGCGAAAGCAUUUGCCAAGGAUGUUUUCAUUAAUCAAGAACGAAAGUUAGGGGAUCGAAGACGAUCAGAUACCGUCGUAGUCUUAACCAUAAACUAUGCCGACUAGGGAUCGGAUGAUGUUAUUUUUAAUGACUCAUUCGGCGCCUUACG